This 2442-nucleotide long non-coding RNA is filed under the name Homo sapiens (human). Its description in RNAcentral is "HSALNT0033001". Lineage: Eukaryota; Metazoa; Chordata; Mammalia; Primates; Hominidae. The record is from RNAcentral.
AGUGGCUCAACAUAUUUUAAAACAUAAAGUGAACAAGUGUCAUUCAGAGUUUUCAUUUAAAUUUGCAUUGUUGGAGGGGAUAUUAGAUCCAAGCUCACAUUAACUGUUGAGACUGUAAACAACUUUACUCAAAUAGAACAAAAAAGGGGGGUGGACAGAACUACCUUGCAAACAUUUUUUUCCGUCAUUUAUUUCUUCCCCGUGUUUAUUUUUCCAGUCUCCCUGAAUUGCCAUCAUGUCAUGAAAAAUACUUUGUUUUAAACUUAAUGGAAUGGAUUGUCAUUUUGGUGGAUUUUUGCCAGUGAAGAAUUUAUCAGACUCAAUAGCCUCCAUCACUUGGCAGGACAGAAAGGCCUCGAAAGCCUCUUUCAGUAUCUCUGAGCAUACCUAACAUUUAGAAAGGUGCAACUGAAGGAACAGAGAAACUGUGUAAUUGUAAAACCUCCUUGUGGCCCCACAUGGCUCAUACUCAAAUGAUUCCAGUGUCUAUGGCCUGAGAAGUGCUUCAUGAAAUGAGGUGAUUAUCUUGACUACAUGAGGGGAUAACUUUGGAAAUGUGCUUAAAGUUCAAAAGUGCUCUUGAAAAGGCAUCAAGUCAACUCAGAGGCAAUGUUGGAGCUUAUCUGUAGCAUUUCCCCCGGCUUGGACAAGAAUACGGCAUCAUUAUCUAAACACAAAGCCAAAUGAACAGUGCCUCAAGUCAGAGAUUGGCAUGGUGAGUCGCCGGGAGGUGGAAAAGAGGCACAGCUUCAUUGAAGCUACAGUUGGCUGCAAGGAACCAUUUCAAAUCAUCUUAGUUCUACGGGGCCAUUCAGGUGGCAAAGGCCCAGGUAACAUUUGAUCAAGUUGCUACAGGGCUUGGACCUACUUUUAUUGCCCCUUACUUUUCCCACUAACAUUUUUGCUUGAAAUAUCGAUGUUUUUUUGGUGCAGCAAAACUCUUUUCCCACAGCUAAAUUGAAGUAGGGCAUAUGUGCUUCCCUCACCUCGCUCCCAGUCCCUCUUGACCCCGAAAUGGUCUAGCAGCCUGUGCUUUGUUAAACUGAAAAUGUGUAGAAAUUUUUAUAGAGAUAUUCAGCUAUAUAAAUAGCUUUGAAAUUUGUCAUAACUUUAAAAACAGGUCAAAAAGGAAAUUGAACAGCUAGUGAGUUUCUGUCUUAGUCCGUUUUGUGCUGCUAUAACAGAAUACCAUAAACUAGGUAAUUUAUAAACAAUAGAAGUUUAUUUGUCUCAAUGGCCAACAAGCAUAUGGAAAAAUGUUCAACAUCACUAAUUAUCAGGGAAAUACAAAUCAAAACCACAGUGCGAUACCACGUAACUUCUGCAAUAAUGGUCAUAAUCAAAAAAUAAUAAUAAAUAAAUAGAUGUUGGCAUGGAUAUGGUGAAAAGGGAACACUUUUACUGGGUUGGUGGGAAUGUAAACUAGCACAACCACUAUAGAAAACAGUAUGGAGACUCCUUAAAGAACUAAAAGUAGACCUACCAUUUGACCUAGCAACCCCACUGCUAUGUAUCUGCUCAGAAGUAAAGAAGUCAUUAUACAAAAAAGACACUUGUUACAUGCAUGUAUAUAGCAGUACAAUUGCCCAAAUGCCCAUCAAUCAAUGAGUGGAUAAAAAAUGUUAUAUACAUACAUAUAUGUGUGUGUAUAUAUACAUAUACAUAUACACACACACACACAUACACACACACACACACACACACACACAUAUACCAUGGAAUACUGCUCAGCCAAAGAAAGGAAUGAAAUAAUGGGAUUUGCAGCAACCUGGAUGGAAUUGGAGGCUAUUAUUCUAAGUGAAGUAACUCAGGAAUAGAUAACCAAACAUACAUGUUCUCACUCAUAUGUGGGAACUAAGCUAUGAGAAUGCAAAGGCAUAAGAAUGAUAUAUUGGAGUUUGGAGACUCAAAGGAAAGAGUGGGGGAGAGGGAGGGAUAAAAGACUACACAUUGGGUACAGUAUACAAUGCUUGAGUGAUGGGUGCAACAAAAUCUCAGAAAUCCCCACUAAUGAGCAUAUUCAUGUAACAAAAUACCAUCUGUUCCCCAAAACUUAUUGAAAUAAAAAAUAAAAAAUUAAUGAUAAUAACAAUAAAAAGAAGUUUAUUUGUCUUAUGUUUCUGGAGGCCAGGAAGUCCAAGAUCAAGGGGUUGCAUCUAGUGGGGGUCUUCUUGCUGAGUCAUAACCUGGCAGAAGACAUCACAUGAAGAGAGAAUGGAUGAGAGCCAGCAAGCAAGAGAGGGCCAAACUUGCUUUUAUAACAAACCCAUUCCUGACAUCAUGAACUUACCCCUGCCAUAAUGACAUUAAUCCAUUCCAGGGGGCAAAGCUCUCAUGACCUAAUCACCUCUCAAAAGUGCCACCUCUCGAUGCUGUUGCAUUGGGGAUUAAGUUUCCAACACAUGAACUCUGGGGAGAUGCAUUCAAACCUUAGCAGUUUAA